Molecule: ribosomal RNA, 253 nt
Filed under: uncultured bacterium
Lineage: Bacteria
Description: partial 16S ribosomal RNA
Rfam family: Bacterial small subunit ribosomal RNA
Source: RNAcentral
UACGAAGGGGGCUAGCGUUGCUCGGAAUCACUGGGCGUAAAGGGCGCGUAGGCGGGCUCUUAAGUCGGGGGUGAAAGCCCAAGGCUCAACCUUGGAAUUGCCUUUGAUACUGAGGGCCUUGAGACCGGAAGAGGUCGGCGGAACUGCGAGUGUAGAGGUGAAAUUCGUAGAUAUUCGCAAGAACACCAGUGGCGAAGGCGGCCGACUGGUCCGGUUCUGACGCUGAGGCGCGAAAGCGUGGGGAGCAAACAGG